RNAcentral lists this ribosomal RNA (1460 nucleotides) under Helicobacter ganmani. RNAcentral describes it as "16S ribosomal RNA". It matches the Rfam family "Bacterial small subunit ribosomal RNA". Lineage: Bacteria; Pseudomonadati; Campylobacterota; Epsilonproteobacteria; Campylobacterales; Helicobacteraceae. The record is from RNAcentral.
AGAGUUUGAUCCUGGCUCAGAGUGAACGCUGGCGGCGUGCCUAAUACAUGCAAGUCGAACGAUGAAGCUCUAGCUUGCUAGAGUGGAUUAGUGGCGCACGGGUGAGUAAUGCAUAGAUAACAUGCCCUUUAGUCUAGGAUAGCCAUUGGAAACGAUGAUUAAUACUGGAUACUCCUUACGAGGGAAAGUUUUUCGCUAAAGGAUUGGUCUAUGUCCUAUCAGCUUGUUGGUGAGGUAAUGGCUCACCAAGGCUAUGACGGGUAUCCGGCCUGAGAGGGUGAACGGACACACUGGAACUGAGACACGGUCCAGACUCCUACGGGAGGCAGCAGUAGGGAAUAUUGCUCAAUGGGGGAAACCCUGAAGCAGCAACGCCGCGUGGAGGAUGAAGGUUUUCGGAUUGUAAACUCCUUUUGUUAGAGAAGAUAAUGACGGUAUCUAACGAAUAAGCACCGGCUAACUCCGUGCCAGCAGCCGCGGUAAUACGGAGGGUGCAAGCGUUACUCGGAAUCACUGGGCGUAAAGAGCGCGUAGGCGGGAUAGCAAGUCAGAUGUGAAAUCCUAUGGCUUAACCAUAGAACUGCAUUUGAAACUGUUAUUCUAGAGUAUGGGAGAGGUAGGUGGAAUUCUUGGUGUAGGGGUAAAAUCCGUAGAGAUCAAGAGGAAUACUCAUUGCGAAGGCGACCUGCUAGAACAUAACUGACGCUGAUGCGCGAAAGCGUGGGGAGCAAACAGGAUUAGAUACCCUGGUAGUCCACGCCCUAAACGAUGAAUGCUAGUUGUUGUGGAGCUUGUCUCUGCAGUAAUGCAGCUAACGCAUUAAGCAUUCCGCCUGGGGAGUACGGUCGCAAGAUUAAAACUCAAAGGAAUAGACGGGGACCCGCACAAGCGGUGGAGCAUGUGGUUUAAUUCGAAGAUACACGAAGAACCUUACCUAGGCUUGACAUUGAUAGAAUCCGCUAGAGAUAGUGGAGUGCUAGCUUGCUAGAACUUGAAAACAGGUGCUGCACGGCUGUCGUCAGCUCGUGUCGUGAGAUGUUGGGUUAAGUCCCGCAACGAGCGCAACCCUCGUCCUUAGUUGCUAACUAUUCGGUAGAGCACUCUAAGGAGACUGCCUUCGCAAGGAGGAGGAAGGUGAGGAUGACGUCAAGUCAUCAUGGCCCUUACGCCUAGGGCUACACACGUGCUACAAUGGGAAGCACAAAGAGAUGCAAUAUUGUGAAAUGGAGCAAAUCUAUAAAACUUCUCUCAGUUCGGAUUGUAGUCUGCAACUCGACUACAUGAAGCUGGAAUCGCUAGUAAUCGUAAAUCAGCUAUGUUACGGUGAAUACGUUCCCGGGUCUUGUACUCACCGCCCGUCACACCAUGGGAGUUGUAUUCGCCUUAAGUCGGAAUGCCAAACUGGCUACCGCCCACGGCGGAUGCAGCGACUGGGGUGAAGUCGUAACAAGGUAACCGUA